This 1935-nucleotide long non-coding RNA is filed under the name Marmota monax (woodchuck). The record is from RNAcentral. Lineage: Eukaryota; Metazoa; Chordata; Mammalia; Rodentia; Sciuridae.
AACACACAAAAACUAUUAACUUAUAAUAGAAAUUACUCAUAAUCAAUCAGAGAACCCAGAAAUACUCCACAGAAGGGUUCAAAUAUGGUUCUUAUUGGGUUACUCAGCGUUUAUAUUUGUUUUCUAGAAAACUCUGCCUUUCCAUAAUUUCUCCCUUCAACCUGGUUCUCUGUCCUGCAGCCACAAAUGGCUUUUGCUCCCUUCACCGAGGCAUUCAUUUAACAAGCUGAGCAUUCAGCAUAUGCCAGUCACUGGAACUCAAGGAUAAUCAAUAAAUUGUCCAUGCCAUUAAGAAACUUAGCAAAUGAAUGCUACAGUCUGAAUGUUUGUGUCCUCCCACCCUAUACCCACCCCCAAAUAUGUUAAAACCUAAACCCUAAUGUGGAGGCACAAAGAGGCAGGGCCUUUGGGUGAUUGAUUCUGAGGGCUUAUCCUCAUGGAUAGGAUGAAUGCCUUUAUAAAAGAGAUCCAGGAGCUUGCUGGCCCCUUCUGCCACAAGAGACACAGCAGAAAGUUGCCAUCUAUGAGGAAGAUAUACGGGCACUUUGAUCUUGGAGUUUUGAACCUCCAGUGAGAAAUAUAUGACUGUUUUAUGUUAAAAAGCCUAAGAUAUUUUGUUGUAGCAACCCAAACAGAGACCAUAGUAUAUUUUAUUUAGUAAGUAAAUUAAUACAUAAAGGAUUUCUGCUGUGUAUUAGAAAUGCUGAAGUGAUCAAUCUCCAUGAAAUGUAUAUUCUAAUAGAAGAAAAAGACAUUGAAGUCUUAAUUUAGUAUAGAAUUGCCUUGUGACCUACUCUACAAAGAAGCUGAUAACGAGGUUGUGAAGCAAGAUGUCUGACCUCGUUAGGAAUCAGGGUCAGCUUCCUGGAGGAAGAAGCAGUGCCUGAGAACUAAAACAUGAACAGGAAUUAAAUACUGAAGGCAGAAAGAGAAGACAAUGUGCGAAGACAUUGAGAAGAAAAGGCACAGAGCACAUUAGAGGGACUCAAACAGCCAGAAUGACUGAUGAGGGAAGGCUGAGAGGUGGACAAGCUAUGUAAGUUAUGCAGGCCCUGAGGGUUAGCAGGUUUAAAACAGGGAUGGAACGAUUAGAUCUGCAUUUUUAUAAGAUUACUCUAGCUGCUGCAGCCUGGAGAAUAAGUUGUUGGGAAUGCAAGAAUAAAAACUAGGAAAGACAGAAGAAUGCUAUUACAUUAUUCCAGGCAAGAGAGAUAAUGAGAGUGUGAAGGACGUUGCAGCACUGGAAAUGGGGGUAAAGGGGGGUUAGAGAGAUGUUUUAGCAAUAAUUAUUACAGGCCUCGCUGACUGAUUGGAACCAACCCCAAGAAUUCUGGUGUCAGUGGAUCAGUGACAGCACCGUUUCUCACAAAGAAUAUUGAGAAAGUCCACGGUGAGAGGCAGUCUGGUCUGUGAGGGAGGCAGACAUGUAAAGCGAUCACACCACUGGGAUGCGUGGCACUACAGAGACAGAGAAGUCAGCAAAGCCUCCACUGAAAAGGCAAUAAUGGGCUGGGUCUUGAAGAAGAGAAGGAUUUUUUUUCUCUUUUAGACCUCUCCUUUCACACUCUCUUAGUCAAAGAAAUGACAUAUGCAAAGACCAGGAUCAAAGAUGAGAUAAAGAAGUGGGCAAAGAUGAGAACUAGGGUCAUCUCCUUGAAUUAUGUACUUAAUUUAUGCCCUUGUUCCAAAAAUUAAUCAUUAUUUUGAAAAAUAUAUGCUAGAUUUGUUCAAACGUGGUGGGCACUGAGGCAGGCAUUACCAAGACCCCCUUCCAUGGAGGAUGCAGUACUCCAGUGCUGAUGGAGACAGCCUCCACCUGGCAUUGCCUUCAGGGUGAUAGUCUCAGCUGCAGGAGCCACCUGACUGCAGUCAUGCCAAUGGAAUAUGCAAAGCAUGUGACUUCAGUGUUCCCUCAGCUGGGAAGGCUGCUCCCAC